RNAcentral lists this long non-coding RNA (1497 nucleotides) under Olea europaea subsp. europaea. The record is from RNAcentral. Lineage: Eukaryota; Viridiplantae; Streptophyta; Magnoliopsida; Lamiales; Oleaceae.
GCAAACCUUCAUGCACGAAGGUUUGUGUGUGCGAGGAGUCCCAGCACCAAUGUGCGGGGACAAUUGUUCACUGGAGGGGCUAGAUUUCUGUGUUGUUUAUUAGUGCCAAAAUGAUUUUUGAGAUUUUUCAUUCCACACGCUUCUUCCAACGCAAACCCUAGCAUGUACUCUCCUAUGUUUUUCACAUCUCCAAUCUUCCAAAGCUAUCUAUAAGGUGUCAUCUCCAAAUGAAUCUCUCCUCUUCUAGAUAAGCCGAACACAGUCACUCAGAAGGCCUCAAGUACUCUAUCGUUGGGCUCGCAUAUGAACAGGCGCUUCAUUUCCUUGCUUCGACGAACUACCGUGGGGAUUUGGCUCUAAAGCCAUCGUCCUUGAAGCAAGUCAAGGAAUACUGUUAUCUGUACAGCCUUCUCGAGCUGCAGAGCUCUUUUCAUACUUGGUUGAGCUUCAGACUUUCCCUGAAACACUCUUUCGUAAAUACCUCAUCGACUAAGUUAUUUUUACUCGAAAUAGAGAAUAAUCUCCAAUUUUGGUAGUUUUGAAAUUAUUUAUUUUUUGGCUCUAUUUUAUCUUUUGCGAUUUGUUUGGUUAAUAAUGUAUUAAACAAGAUUGUAUUCCUUAAUUUAGUCAGAUAAAUUAACAAAUUACUUAAAUUGGGUUAUGUUAUUUUUCAUAAUUUUUUGAUGAAUAAAAGAGUUGCCUUUUCAAACAUUCUCUACAGCUGAGCUUCAUGUCAAAUUAAAGGAAUGCCUUCUGGUUUUUGUGAACAAGAUCUUGUAAUUGUUGAAUGAACAAAAAGAUUCAACCUUGACAAUUGAUUUUCUGCUAAAUGUUUAACUUAUUGGUAAUAACACAAGGGAAUAUGAGUUGUCGGUAAUAAUAUAUGCAAACUGGUUUGGCUGCCACUAAAGAUUAAUCUUCUUCUUAAAGUAGAAAUUACUUUAUGUUUUGAAAAAGAAAAUUAACUAUAAAAAUAUUUGAUUCUUUGUAUGCGUGUCUGAUUGACCGUUUACUAUGAAAGAGGAUGACACAAACUAUACGUGUUAAAAAAACCAAAUUAUAUGUGAGUUCAGAGAUACUAUUUUUAAGGUUUCAAUGAAAGAGUGUAUGACUCAAACUAUAUGUGCAAACUCAAAUUAUGCAGUGAAGCACGUACACUGUUUGACUGUCUUCCUAACUCAAAAUGUGGGUGUUUGUUACGAAAUAUGAGAAAAUUGCCAAUAUUUGUAUAGUUUUGUCUAACUUGGUCUUAACAUUGUAUGAUGUUAUUGUCUUCUCUUAGGAGAUUUGGAUGCCUCAUCUGCCCAGGAUAAAAUUGGAUAGAAUGGCAACUCUAAAAAUCAUACUGGUUACCCAAUUUACCAUCAUCUUCAAUUGGAUUCCAUCAGUUUUCUUCAAAAAUUAGUGCUUUUUGUAGAGAGGACAUUAUGUGACCACAUAAGUAUUGUGGAAAUUUUUGCUUUUCUUUGUACAAGACACGUUAAUUUUUAUUUUUUU